This 80-nucleotide transfer RNA is filed under the name Chitinophagaceae bacterium. RNAcentral's name for it is "tRNA-Leu". It matches the Rfam family "tRNA". From Rfam's summary of the family: Transfer RNA (tRNA) molecules are approximately 80 nucleotides in length. Their secondary structure includes four short double-helical elements and three loops (D, anti-codon, and T loops). Further hydrogen bonds mediate the characteristic L-shaped molecular structure. tRNAs have two regions of fundamental functional importance: the anti-codon, which is responsible for specific mRNA codon recognition, and the 3' end, to which the tRNAs corresponding amino acid is attached (by aminoacyl-tRNA synthetases). tRNAs cope with the degeneracy of the genetic code in two manners: having more than one tRNA (with a specific anti-codon) for a particular amino acid; and 'wobble' base-pairing, i.e. permitting non-standard base-pairing at the 3rd anti-codon position. Lineage: Bacteria; Pseudomonadati; Bacteroidota; Chitinophagia; Chitinophagales; Chitinophagaceae. The record is from RNAcentral.
GCGGGCGUGGCGAAAUUGGUAGACGCGCUAGACUUAGGAUCUAGUGUUUACACAUGGGGGUUCGAGUCCCUCCGCCCGCA